CAAAAGGUAGUUUAAAUAAAAUAUUAGUUUUGGGGAUUAUUGAUGAGUUCAUACUUUCUUUUGA
RNAcentral lists this transfer RNA (64 nucleotides) under Phraortes illepidus. RNAcentral's name for it is "tRNA-Pro". Lineage: Eukaryota; Metazoa; Arthropoda; Insecta; Phasmatodea; Lonchodidae. The record is from RNAcentral.